AACAUAACAUUUCUUGAUAUUAAUUUUUUUCAAAAAUGUGCGACUAAUCGAAAAAAUAAAACCAUUUAACGAAGGGGAUAAUGACUUAUGAAAACGACCAAAUCAGUCAUUACAAUUUUAUUACUCUAGAAGGACUUUGAGCACUGUAGAAAUUUACAGUAGUUUGAGUCCUGUUUACGUUAAAUGGGAUUCUAGCAAAGCAUCCCAUUGUUUUCAUCAUUGGGGUGCUUUUUCUUUAGCUAGAUU
RNAcentral lists this small RNA (246 nucleotides) under Listeria monocytogenes. Its description in RNAcentral is "partial rli60". The stretch from base 15 to 198 matches the Rfam family "Listeria sRNA rli60". The record is from RNAcentral. Lineage: Bacteria; Bacillati; Bacillota; Bacilli; Caryophanales; Listeriaceae.